CCCACCCUGGUUACCUGCUCCAUACACCUCCUCCAGCCCCGCAGACGGAGGCAAUAUGGCUGGGCUGGCAGCCAGGCUGUGCCAAGAGCGAGCAGCUGCCGAGGGGCUGGGUUCCUGCAGGAAGGCCCUCAGCUACCUGGGCCAGGACUACGAGGCACUGAGGCAGAGGUGUCUGCAGGCUGGGGCUCUGUUCAAGGAUGAGGAGUUCCCAGCCUGCCCUUCUGCACUGGGAUACCAGGACCUGGGACCCUACUCCUUCAAAACCCAGGGGAUAGUCUGGAAGCGGCCCACGGAGUUAUGUGACAAUCCUCAGUUCAUAGUCGGAGGAGCUACUCGGACAGACGUCUGCCAAGGAGAGCUGGGUGACUGCUGGCUCCUGGCUGCCAUCGCGUCUCUGACUUUGAAUCCAGAUGUUCUGUACCGCGUUGUUCCCAAGGCUCAGAGUUUCCAGGAGGACUAUGCUGGGAUCUUUCAUUUCCAGUUCUGGCAGUAUGGGGAGUGGGUGGAUGUGGUGGUGGAUGACCGGCUGCCCACCAAGAAUGGGGAGCUGCUCUUCGUGCAUUCAGAGGAAGGCAAUGAGUUCUGGAGCGCACUGCUGGAGAAAGCCUAUGCCAAGCUGAAUGGUUCUUACGAAGCGCUUGCUGGAGGGUCCACUACAGAGGGGUUUGAGGAUUUUACUGGAGGCAUCUCUGAAUCCUAUGACCUGUGGAGGGCUCCAGCAAACCUGUACCAAAUUGUCCAGAAGGCCCUGAGGGCUGGCUCACUGCUUGGCUGUUCCAUUGAUAUAACUCGUGCAGCUGAAACAGAAGCAAUCACAAGUCUGAAGCUGGUGAAGGGACACGCUUAUUCUGUCACUGGGGCAGAAGAGGUCUAUUACCGAGGACGGCCAGAGAAACUUGUGAGGCUUAGAAAUCCUUGGGGUGAAGUGGAAUGGACUGGAGCGUGGAGUGAUAAUGCUCCUGAAUGGAAUUAUAUUGAUCCCAAACAAAAGCAGGCUCUGGAUAAGCAAGUAGAUGAUGGAGAAUUUUGGAUGGCAUUUUCUGAUUUUCAAAGGCAGUUCACCCGCCUAGAGAUCUGCAACUUGACUCCUGACACACUGACAAGCAACCAGGUCAACAAAUGGGACCUGACCAUGUUCAAUGGACAGUGGAUACGGGGUUCGACAGCUGGAGGCUGCCAGAACUACCCAGCAACAUACUGGAUCAAUCCCCAGUUUAAAAUCCGGCUGGAUGAACCAGAUGAUGAUCAUGAAGGGAGUUUGAAUGAGCCAUGCUGUACUAUACUGGUGGGCUUGAUGCAGAAGAACCGCAGAAGACAGAAGAGAAUGGGAGAUGGUCUGCUUAGCAUUGGUUAUUCACUCUAUCAGAUUCCACAGGAGCUGGAAAAUAACAAAGAUGUUCAUCUGAACCGUGCUUUUUUCACAAGGAACCAACCAGUAGCCCGGUCUGAGACUUACAUCAACCUGCGUGAAGUCUCCAGCCGCAUUAAAUUGCCCAAAGGAGAGUACCUCAUUGUGCCAUCCACAUUUGAGCCUUACAAAAAUGGAGAGUUCUGCCUUCGAGUUUUUUCUGAGAAAAGGGUUAAAACUCAGAUGAUUGGUGAUAUGGUGGCUGCAAAACCAUAUGAGCCUCAUAUUGAUAACAAAGAUAUAGAUGAUGAGUUCAAGACUCUAUUUCAAAAGCUCUCUGGAGAGGACUGUGAAGUGACUGCAACUGAACUUCAAACUAUACUAAAUAGGGUUUUGGCCAAGAGAAAGGAUAUAAGAAGUGAUGGAUUCAACAUUAACACUUGCAGGGAGAUGAUCAGCCUUUUAGAUACUAAUGGAACCGGCUCCUUGGGACUUAGAGAAUUCAGGACGCUUUGGAUGAAGAUUCAGAUGUAUUUGGCGAUCUAUAGGAAGGUGGACAGAGACUACUCGGGUACCAUUGACUCCCAUGAGAUGCGAAAUGCUCUCAGCGAGGCAGGUUUUGUGCUCAACAACCAGGUGCAGCAGAGCAUCGCCAUCCGCUACGCCUGCAGCAAGAUGACCAUUGAUUUUGAUGGCUUUGUGGCCUGCAUGAUCCGCUUAGAGACCCUGUUCAAAGUGUUUCAUCUCCUAGAUAAAGAGAAGAGUGGAGUUGUUCGGCUCUCUUUAGCAGAGUGGCUGUGCUGCACGCUGGUUUGAGUUGAGAUCGAUGAAUUCAGCAGAGAGCUCCAAACGUGGAAUCGCUCCUUCAGCUUCUCCCUGCUACAGAAAGCAGAGAGAGAAACUUGUUUUUAUUACUGGCAAGUUAUUUUAGUCCACGAUGAAUGAUUUCCUGUCAGUUAGAAGAUAGGACUUUUGCUAUACCAUCCUGAGACAGAUCUACCCAAACAAGCAGAGAUGGUUUCAGUCUUGUAGCUUGGAUCUGGAGACUAUUCAAAUCCCAGUGGCCCUGCAAAGGGUCUGAAGUGCAUUUUGUGUGAAUGAAGCCGAUUUCCACAGCAGUGGAGAAUUGGGCCCUGAAGGAGACCACUGGUGCAAAGACAGACUUGAAAACAAGAAGCAAGGAAGCUUCUGGUAUGAAGGAGAAGAACUGAUGUGUGAAUAUGGCCUUGAGAAAGAAGAAAUGACUAUUGCUUAUGAUCCUGGAACUGCUUCUCUUCGCAUUCUUCUGGUGGAAGUUACUGCCUAAUGGAAAGCAAGGGCCAAGGACAGUCACAGCAGUGGUGUCACCACUGCAUCCUCUUCAUCCUUACUGGAAUCCAACCAAAGAACCUACCCAACAGCCACAUCACUGGGACAAUUCCUUCUGACGUUGUUCAUGAGCAGGUAAAACCCAGAUUCAUAUCCUGAAAACACAACUUCAUCUUCCAGUAUGCAACUUUCUGGGCUACAUCUCUGCUAGGUGUCAUGGUUUUAUGAUUUUCGGUUAUUGGUAUUCCACAUCAUAACAUCAUGUAGUGUAUGUACCUGGUUCUCAAAAGAGAAGGAUUACUGCAUUCCCCAGGACACUUUGCUCCUCUGUUACCAUUUCUGGCCAGAGGGAAAAGAUAAAAGCUUGCAGAUCACGAGACCUCGUCCCUUCUCUUUCCGCCCGUCUCUCGUUCUGGCAGCACCUCGCUCUCCAGCCCUCUUAUCAUCGGUAGAAGAGUAAGGCCUACCU
Molecule: RNA transcript, 3125 nt
Organism: Numida meleagris (helmeted guineafowl)
Lineage: Eukaryota; Metazoa; Chordata; Aves; Galliformes; Numididae
Gene: CAPN8
Gene name: calpain 8
Exons: 25
Source: RefSeq, a predicted model, not a curated record